This 497-nucleotide ribosomal RNA is filed under the name uncultured bacterium. RNAcentral's name for it is "partial 16S ribosomal RNA". It matches the Rfam family "Bacterial small subunit ribosomal RNA", at positions 28 to 507 of the family's 1533-position model. The record is from RNAcentral.
GAUGAACGCUGGCGGCGUGCCUAAUACAUGCAAGUCGAGCGAACAGACGAGGAGCUGUCGCCUCUGACUGUAUCGGCGGACGGGUGAGUAACACGUGGAUAACCUACCUAUAAGACUGGGAUAACUUCGGGAAACCGUAGCUAAUACCGGAUAAUAUAUUGAACCGGAUUGUUCAAGAGUGAAAGACGGUAUUGCUGUCACUUAUAGAUUGAUCCGCGCCGCAUUAGUUAGUUGGUAAGGUAACGGCUUACCAAGGCGACGAUGCGUAGCCGACCUGAAAGCGUGAUCGCCUACACUGGCACUGAGACACAGCCCAGACUCCUGCGGGAGGACGCAGUCGGGACUCCUACGCGAGGCGCGAGAGGCUGACGGAGCACCGCCGCGUGAGUGCUGAAGGUCUUCGGAUCCUAAAACUCUGUUAUUCUGGAAGUACAAAUGUGUAAGUACCCAUGCACGUCUUGACGGUACCUAAUCAGAAAGCCACGGCUAACUCCGUG